CAAUGUUAUACCCCACCUCAGGAUGCAAUUUCGAGAUACCUGGAGUAGUAGCCUACAGGAAACAGAUAUUUCUGUUGAGUUUACACAAAUCUGCAGCUUUCUUCUCCCAGGGGCCUAGACACAGCGGGGUAGAUAUUACAGGCUCUCUCCUCUGUGUAGGCUGACGUUCACGACAAAAGGCACAUUUUGAUAUGUAUUCUGCAAUGUCAGUGCUGAUUCCAG
Pelobates cultripes (western spadefoot toad) is the source of this 222-nucleotide non-coding RNA. The record is from the annotation of a GenBank genome assembly. NCBI's taxonomy places the organism in Eukaryota, Metazoa, Chordata, Amphibia, Anura, Pelobatidae.